RNAcentral lists this ribosomal RNA (451 nucleotides) under uncultured Alphaproteobacteria bacterium. RNAcentral describes it as "bacterial SSU rRNA". It matches the Rfam family "Bacterial small subunit ribosomal RNA", at positions 9 to 506 of the family's 1533-position model. The record is from RNAcentral. Lineage: Bacteria; Pseudomonadati; Pseudomonadota; Alphaproteobacteria.
GAGUUUGAUCAUGGCUCAGAACGAACGCUGGCGGCAUGCCUAACACAUGCAAGUCGAACGAGACCUUCGGGUCUAGUGGCGCACGGGUGCGUAACGCGUGGGAAUCUGCCCUUGGGUACGGAACAACAGUUAGAAAUGACUGCUAAUACCGUAUAAUGACUCCGGUCCAAAGAUUUAUCGCCCAAGGAUGAGCCCGCGUCGGAUUAGCUAGUUGGUGAGGUAAAAGCUCACCAAGGCGACGAUCCGUAGCUGGUCUGAGAGGAUGAUCAGCCACACUGGGACUGAGACACGGCCCAGACUCCUACGGGAGGCAGCAGUGGGGAAUAUUGGACAAUGGGCGAAAGCCUGAUCCAGCAAUGCCGCGUGAGUGAUGAAGGCCUUAGGGUUGUAAAGCUCUUUUACCCGGGAUGAUAAUGACAGUACCGGGAGAAUAAGCCCCGGCUAACUCCGU